Non-coding RNA from Gossypium raimondii (Peruvian cotton), 144 nucleotides. The record is from Rfam. NCBI's taxonomy places the organism in Eukaryota, Viridiplantae, Streptophyta, Magnoliopsida, Malvales, Malvaceae.
UGUUAAAAUUUUCAUCCAAUUAUACGGUUAAAAACUGGGAUAGCUAACGGAAUAACCAUACAAUGACAUGUGGUGUGUCAUAUGUACCUCAUGCUAAUGUAGAUGGACUGGUUUUUAAGAUUUGAAAUAGAUAAAAAAAUAAUA